UUUAUAAUCUGGCUUCUCCAGUAAACCCUUAAAAUUUCCAGCAUUAUUUAGAGACAACGAGCAGAGAAAGACUCAUCCACAAAUAAAGCAACUCACCAGCAAGGAGCACGCCACAAAGACAUGAGCUUAAAGCUUCAGCGAAGACAGGAUUUGUGGGGAUGGAUGGAUUAGGUGUGAGGAUGAUGGGUCAUCUGGGGAGACUUGCUGGGGGGAGACUCAGGAAAUGGAUUUCCCAAGCCCACCUAGGACCCCCUCCACCCCCGUGUGGAAGCUGAACAAGGCGAGGAAACGGGGGUAGAAAGAGGUUAAUGGGACGAAGAAGAGAAAGAGAGAUGAGGUCGUUUUUCCUGCCUUGUAUAUCUGCAGCAGUUACCUCUGACCUCUUUGAUUAAUGCUUUUCUGAUGAACCUCUGAGGCCUUGACUGAACUGAGACCUGUGUUUAAUUAAAUAUGACAUCUUAAGCUACAAUCAUGAAUGCUCAGGCAAGUUCGCAUGACCACCGAUGAUGGCAGAUAAACAGCCUUCCUGCGACAGUUUCCUGCCUUCGUUCCCCCUGAGAGGACGAAGGUCUUUUCAAAAACGCUAAAGCUUCCUUCAGAUUCAGUCGACAAGCCGAAGUUGAUCUCUCGCCACAGAAUUAAACAGAAAGCACAAUCCUGAAAGUUAAAGUUUUUCCUGCCAGCGUAUCUGAUGUGGAAAAUGAGACGAAGCUUUCCUGAUCCACAAAACUGGAAAUGUAGCCAAAGACUAGAAGUGAGCAUCACUAAUAGAGAUGCAGACGUUUCAACCUUACAGUGAAUGCUUGCUGCUGACCUGAGACGCAGGACUGCAGAAACAACGAGAGGUCAUUUUUCUAAGCUACUGA
Poecilia reticulata (guppy) is the source of this 866-nucleotide non-coding RNA. Lineage: Eukaryota; Metazoa; Chordata; Actinopteri; Cyprinodontiformes; Poeciliidae. The record is from RefSeq and is a predicted model, not a curated record.